This 75-nucleotide transfer RNA is filed under the name Metschnikowia aff. pulcherrima. RNAcentral's name for it is "tRNA-Met". It matches the Rfam family "tRNA". From Rfam's summary of the family: Transfer RNA (tRNA) molecules are approximately 80 nucleotides in length. Their secondary structure includes four short double-helical elements and three loops (D, anti-codon, and T loops). The record is from RNAcentral. Lineage: Eukaryota; Fungi; Ascomycota; Pichiomycetes; Serinales; Metschnikowiaceae.
GCUUCACUAGCUCAGUUGGCAGAGCGUCAGUCUCAUAGAAUCUGAAGGUCGACAGUUCGAACCUGCCGUGGAGCA